UACGAAGGGGGCUAGCGUUGCUCGGAAUCACUGGGCGUAAAGGGCGCGUAGGCGGCCAUUCAAGUCGGAGGUGAAAGCCCAGGGCUCAACCCUGGAAUUGCCUUCGAUACUGUCUGGCUAGAGACCGGAAGAGGUAAGUGGAACUGCGAGUGUAGAGGUGAAAUUCGUAGAUAUUCGCAAGAACACCAGUGGCGAAGGCGGCUUACUGGUCCGGUUCUGACGCUGAGGCGCGAAAGCGUGGGGAGCAAACGGG
Molecule: ribosomal RNA, 253 nt
Filed under: uncultured bacterium
Lineage: Bacteria
Description: partial 16S ribosomal RNA
Rfam family: Bacterial small subunit ribosomal RNA
Source: RNAcentral